UCAUCACUCAACUCCCUUAUUGAUAGAAGCUACGAGAGACAGUUUAUCCAAUCAACUCUUCACUCUGACUACGAUCGCUUCGUAAAAGAGCCGUGUGUAACUGUCCCGUAUUGCUAAGAAAAACAUCAAACUUGCAUUCAAAAACCUUUAAAAUCAUGAAAAUUCAAGUGGUUAUUAUAUUUUUCUUCUCUCUAGUGUGGUUGGUGAAGUGCGAACAUCUCAUUCUCGGGGAUACGAAUAAGAAAACGUUGUUGUUCCACAAAGUCGCUCAGUAUCACGCGAUUCCAUUUACUAAAAGAAUAAAGAGUGUGUUUUUCAGCAGUCCUGAACAAAGGGUGAUAAAUAGUAUCAUGGUGUACGACAACCUCCAUUCCCAGGCCAAGGCUACGGUGACCGCCGGAGGACCGGGUUACACCUACGUCAACAUUCUGCUGAAGAGCGAACGCGGGAAAGGCCUGGACUACGAUAUUGGAAUUUAUUCUUAGAUUUAAGUUGUUUUAAAAUUUGGGUACCUACCUACUGCUAGUCGAGAUUGUAUUUAAAUAAAUUCUAUCUUGAUUGUUUUUUUUGUAA
Molecule: long non-coding RNA, 573 nt
Organism: Ostrinia nubilalis (European corn borer)
Lineage: Eukaryota; Metazoa; Arthropoda; Insecta; Lepidoptera; Crambidae
Exons: 2
Source: RefSeq, a predicted model, not a curated record